UGAGGAAUUUUCCGCAAUGGGCGCAAGCCUGACGGAGCGACGCCGCGUGAGGGACGAAGGCCUUCGGGUUGUAAACCUCUUUUGCAAGGGAAAAAGGCGCAAGCUUGAUGGUACUUUGCGAAUAAGCCCCGGCUAACUACGUGCCAGCAGCCGCGGUAAUACGUAGGGGGCGAGCGUUGUCCGGAAUUACUGGGCGUAAAGGGCGUGUAGGCGGUUGAACAAGUCUGGUGUGAAAUCCCAAGGCUUAACUUUGGGACUGCGCUGGAAACUGUUCGACUAGAGUGUCGGAGGGGCAACUGGAAUUCACGGUGUAACGGUGAAAUGUGUAGAUAUCGUGAGGAACAUCUGUGGCGAAGGCGGGUUGCUGGCCGGAUACUGACGCUGAUACGCGAAAGCGUGGGUAGCAAACAGG
Molecule: ribosomal RNA, 412 nt
Filed under: uncultured bacterium
Lineage: Bacteria
Description: bacterial SSU rRNA
Rfam family: Bacterial small subunit ribosomal RNA
Source: RNAcentral